GACGAACGCUGGCGGCGUGCCUAAUACAUGCAAGUAGAACGCUGAAGAGAGGAGCUUGCUCUUCUUGGAUGAGUUGCGAACGGGUGAGUAACGCGUAGGUAACCUGCCUUGUAGCGGGGGAUAACUAUUGGAAACGAUAGCUAAUACCGCAUAACAAUGGAUGACACAUGUCAUUUAUUUGAAAGGGGCAAUUGCUCCACUACAAGAUGGACCUGCGUUGUAUUAGCUAGUAGGUGAGGUAAUGGCUCACCUAGGCGACGAUACAUAGCCGACCUGAGAGGGUGAUCGGCCACACUGGGAGUGAGACACGGCCCAGACUCCUACGGGAGGCAGCAGUAGGGAAUCUUCGGCAAUAGGGGCAACCCUGACCGAGCAGCGCCGCGGGAGUGAAGAAGGUUUUCGGAUCGGAAAGCUCUGUUGUAAGUCAAGAACGGGUGUGAGAGUGGAAAGUUCACACUGUGACGGUAGCUUACCAGAAAGGGACGGCUAACUACGUG
Molecule: ribosomal RNA, 497 nt
Filed under: uncultured bacterium
Lineage: Bacteria
Description: partial 16S ribosomal RNA
Rfam family: Bacterial small subunit ribosomal RNA
Source: RNAcentral